GCUGGAAUGUACCUGGAGCCUAGGAAUGUAGGCAGCCUCUAGAAGGUAGAAAAAGCAAGGAUAUGGAUUUUCCCCUAGAGCUUCCAGAAGAAGCACAACCC
This is a long non-coding RNA of Sapajus apella (tufted capuchin), 101 nucleotides long. RefSeq lists it as uncharacterized. The record is from RefSeq and is a predicted model, not a curated record. Lineage: Eukaryota; Metazoa; Chordata; Mammalia; Primates; Cebidae. The transcript is spliced from 3 exons.